CAGAUUCAUAUGUUGGAGUCCUGACCUCAGAAUGUGGCUGUAUUUGGAGAGAGCUCUUGGGGUUUUUUUUUUUUUUUCAGCUUUAUUGAGAUAUAAUUGACAUAGGACAUUGUGACAAUUUAAGACAUACAACAUGCAAAUUGAAUACAUUUAUGUAUCGCAGUACGAUUACCAUCACAGCGCUAACCUUCAUCACAUCGCGUAACUACCGUUCCUUUUUUGUGCUGAGAACGUUUGAGGUCUACUCUCUUAGCAACUUGGAAGCAUAGAAUGAAGUAUUGUUAGCUGGAAUCACAAUGCUGUGCAUUCGAUCCUCAGAAGGUGUUCGUUCACCUUCCGAGUGGGAGCUGGUGCCCUUUUACCCGUCUCCCCACUUCCCCCACCCCCAGCUCCUGGUAACCAUCAUUCUGCCCUCCAUUUCUACGAGUUUGGCUUUUUUAGAUCCUGUGCAUGAGACGUGACAUGCAGUAUUCGUCAUUCUCCGUCUGAUGUAUUUCGCAUAGCAUUAUGCCCACAGAGGUCCACUCCCGGGUGCCCGCAGCAUUUUUCACCGUAACCCAGCUAUGGAAACGCCCCAGGUGCCUGUCAGCGGGCGAAUGCAUAAAGCAGAUGUGGUAUAAAUAUACAAUGGCGUGUUAUUCGGCCACAAAGUGAAGGAAAUCCUGCCGCUUGGGACAUCACAAAGAUAAGGUCCUUACAGAGAUAAAGGAAGCCGGAUAGGCUUCACUCAGCCAGCAAGCCGGUGGGGGAGACAAAGAAGGUGACAUCGGAGUCCUAAUCCUCCUGCCCAGUGCCUGGGCCGUCUGAAUAGGAGAUGCUGGGAAAUCAGGAAACCUGACUUUAAGUCCUGGCUCUGAUUAAGCCCUGAAUUACCGUCCAUCAGCACUGUGGUCCAUCAGCCGGGUCCAGGAUCGCUGCUGAGGGCUGGACGCUCGCCUCCUCCCUGCCCUUCUCCGUGACGCACACACCCCCCUCAAAAUGACAUGCCGUGGUGCGCACGUUCAGCAAACAAAUGUGACUGUCUUUCUUGCCUGGUUGAUCCCAUAAUCAGUGGUCACGGGGAACUUGGGCUCCCCAGCAAGCCCACCAGUCACGGUUGGCUCCGUCUGACCCGCUCCUCGGGGCUUGGCCCGGCUCUUUCUGGAGCUCGCUCCGUCUGCCCAGGAGAUGUCUACACGUCCCCAGAUAACGGAAGGCCCCAGCUGAAGAGGGACAAGGUCACACCAAAGCAGGCAAGAAGCACAAGUGUAUUAACAUGACUUCAAAACUAUGUUCUCCUGUAAUUUAGAAAAGGAUCGCAUUCUUCAGAGGGUUCAAAAAGCCUGGCACAGAGAAGAUCUAGAAGUUUUGCAGGUGAAAGAACCCGCAUUUCAUGAAUUUACACACGUGAAGAGGAUACGAACCCAGAUCACAGGACACUGCCUGUGGUCUCUAAAUACUUGUGUUUUUUGAGAAAGAACACAUUCCGUGAAAAUAUUGUUUACCACCGUUGGCACUUUAUGUUAUGUUUCAUUGCCAAAUUACUUCUCACAACAGUCGUAAUUCUCCAUAUACCAAAGGGAAGAGGGAGCUAGUUUUUUUUUUUUUAAUUUUUUUUAACGUUUAUUUAUUUUUGAGAAAGAGAGAGAUUUUUCUCUCUGAGGGGGAGGGGCAGAGAGAGAGGGAGACCCAGAAUCCCAAGCAGGCUCCAGGCUCCGAGCCGUCAGCACAGAGCCCGACGGGGGGCUCGAACUCACCAACCAUGAGAUCGUGACCAGAGCCGAAGUCGGACGCUUAACCGACUGAGCCACCCAGGCGACCCCCUUUUAUUCAAUUUUUUUUUAAGGAGGGAGUUAGUUUUAAUGGUUGAGAAAGGACAACAUUGGCGUUGACCGUACUGGUUGUAACAGGGCUGGUGGCUCCAGAAUCCCGACACGGUGACAAGAUGGUCGGCUCCCCUCGAUCCCCGACUGCCCGAGGUGCCCCACGGGGCCACGGGUCACCCACCCGGCCUUCUUUGCAAGACUGCUGAUCAGCAAGGGGGGCAGUCUCUCCACAUCUUCCUUCCUUCCUCACUUCCACCUCGGUGUCUCGGGUCAGUCAGAGAUAACAUCUACUCAAGAUCGAUACAUAGGAAAUACUAUCAUUAGCUCUGUGAAUCUCAUGGGGCAGGAAAUUUCAUCCUGUCUCAUGGAAACUGUGAGAUACCGUCUAUUGCUUUAAGCUGCUAAAUUUGUAGCAACUUUCCUUUUUGUUGCAAUAGAAAACCAAUACGCUGGUGCUUCUUUUUUAAUGGGCAGCAGAAGUGAAGACACUCAUCACAUAGAUCCCACCCUCUACCAGGGAGAGUCGUUGGCUCCUACCCUCUUAGCCUUCUUCUCUGUGAUUGCUGAAGUACAGUGGACAGGACUUGGACUCUAACAGACCCUACAGCUCCCAUGGGGAGCCAAGAGGUGGGAGCCCCCGCAGGAGGGGGUAUUUCCUUGGUUCAGAUGACUCAGCAUUG
Acinonyx jubatus (cheetah) is the source of this 2485-nucleotide long non-coding RNA. RefSeq lists it as uncharacterized. NCBI's taxonomy places the organism in Eukaryota, Metazoa, Chordata, Mammalia, Carnivora, Felidae. The transcript is spliced from 3 exons. The record is from RefSeq and is a predicted model, not a curated record.